UACGUAGGGAGCAAGCGUUGUCCGGAAUCAUUGGGCGUAAAGCGCGCGUAGGUGGCUUCGUAAGUCCGUUGUGAAAGUCAAAGGCUCAACCUUUGAAAGCCGAUGGAUACUGCGGAGCUAGAGUACGGAAGAGGCGAGUGGAAUUCCUGGUGUAGCGGUGAAAUGCGCAGAUAUCAGGAGGAACACCAAUGGCGAAGGCGGCUCUCUGGGACGGUACUGACGGCUGAGACGCGAAAGCGUGGGGAGCGAACAGG
RNAcentral lists this ribosomal RNA (254 nucleotides) under uncultured bacterium. Its description in RNAcentral is "partial 16S ribosomal RNA". It matches the Rfam family "Bacterial small subunit ribosomal RNA", at positions 524 to 776 of the family's 1533-position model. The record is from RNAcentral.